This 1325-nucleotide long non-coding RNA is filed under the name Vigna radiata. RNAcentral describes it as "long non-coding RNA (VRAD_LNC001003)". The record is from RNAcentral. Lineage: Eukaryota; Viridiplantae; Streptophyta; Magnoliopsida; Fabales; Fabaceae.
AAAAACAAAAAAAAACAUAAAAAAGAGAGAGACAACGUCGUCUGGAGAAGGACGAGGCCGAUUUGGUUGGCAGGGACACAACAGAGGCGAUUUUGGAUUUGCAAUUGGCAAAGGGUUUGCAAGGAAAAAUGGUAAAAGUAAGAGCAGAGAGGAUGAAGACAAAAAAAAAGCAGAGUGGGAAUCAGAGGAGGGGAAUGGACUUGGAUAGCAAGACGGAGAAUCAGUGAAGGCAGGUGUCAACACCCAAUCUCGUCCUGGUGACUAAAUAAAAGGACUUGGUAUUUAUUGUUGUCUUAUUUCAUUUUAUUUUCUUUAAUUUUUUUUUUAUUUUGUUAUUCUUAAUUUUAUUUUACUAUUUUGUUUAGUCUUGUAAAAAAAAAAGAAAAAAAAAUAAAAAAAAAAAGAAGAAAAGAAAAAUAAUUGCAAAGAAAAAGAAAAGAAAAAGAAAAAGAAUAGAAGAGAAAAAGGGAAAAGAAAAAAAAAGAAAGAAGAAAAAAUGAAAAAGAAAAACAAAAAAGGAAGGAGGAAACAAAAGAAAAAAAAAGGUGCACGUGAAUAAAAUGAAAAGAAAAAGAAUGGUGAUUAAACGAGAGAGGUGCUACACGUGACAAAUUGGAUUUGAUUUCCUUGGAAAAAUGCUCAUAAGCAAUUAAUAUUAAUGCAUGAUAAAUCACUUUAGAAUUUAUUUUGGAAUUUUGUUUUAUUUGGUAAUAAUUUGAAUCAACAUUAUGCCAAUAAUUCUAAGCAAUAAUUAAAAAUAAUAUAUUGAUUGUUGCAUUCAGUUUAUUCCUAAAAAGAAAAAUAUAAUUUCCUUUUAAUGGAUAAUAAUAUGACAAUUAUUAUAAUUUGAUUUAUUAGACCAUUUUCUUUCCCCGUUUUGUUAAUUAUCAAUUAAUUCGCCAUUAAGGCAAGAUCACAAUAAUAUUACAAUGUGUGUAUAUAAAUACGCAUUUUGAAGAGAAGAAGGGGGGAGAGGAGAAAAAUCCAAUUUCGGAAAUAGAACAUAAGAGAACAAAGAAAAAAAGUGUGGGACAAAGAGGCAAGUGCAAAGAUGAAUAAACAACUUCCUGUGCAAGCUUUUUGUGGUGCAAGGAGAAGCUUUAAGGCAGCUUCAGAAGGGUGAAGAUCAAUUUCCUGGUUACAUUUCCUUUCCCAUUCUUAUUGGACUUUUUUGUUUUCAUUUUAUUUUCUUUGCUUUUAUUUCUUUAGUUUUGGUAUAUUGUUUUAUUAUUGAUGGUUUGUUGUACUCGGUUUUUGAUAAAAAUACAAAAUAUAACAAUCAUAGAAAGUAAAUAAACAAAAAUGAAAAAGAAAAAAUAAAAAAC